Molecule: ribosomal RNA, 1038 nt
Filed under: uncultured organism
Description: bacterial SSU rRNA
Rfam family: Bacterial small subunit ribosomal RNA
Source: RNAcentral
UUCGGGUUGUAAACUCCUGUCAUGAGGGAGCAAAGCUCUUCGGAGCCUGAUAGUACCUCAAGAGGAAGGAACGGCAAACUCUGUGCCAGCAGCCGCGGUAAUACAGAGGUUCCAAGCGUUGUUCGGAUUCAUUGGGCGUAAAGGGUGCGUAGGCGGCGUGGUAAGUCAAAUGUGAAAUUACGGAGCUCAACUCCGUACUGCAUUCGAUACUGCCAUGCUAGAGGACUGGAGAGGAGACUGGAAUUCACGGUGUAGCAGUGAAAUGCGUAGAUAUCGUGAGGAAGACCAGUGGCGAAGGCGAGUCUCUGGACAGCUCCUGACGCUGAGGCACGAAGGCCAGGGUAGCGAACGGGAUUAGAUACCCCGGUAGUCCUGGCAGUAAACGUUGCACGUUUGGUGUGGGAGGAUUCGACCCCUUCCGUGCCGGAGCUAACGCGUUAAACGUGCCGCCUGGGGAGUACGGUCGCAAGAUUAAAACUCAAAGAAAUUGACGGGGGCCCGCACAAGCGGUGGAGUAUGUGGCUUAAUUCGAUGCAACGCGAAGAACCUUACCCAGCCUUGACAUGCAUUUCUAAACCGGUGAAAGCCGGCGAGUCUUCGGACAACUUGCACAGGUGCUGCAUGGCUGUCGUCAGCUCGUGUCGUGAGAUGUUGGGUUAAGUCCCGCAACGAGCGCAACCCCUGUGAACUGUUGCUAUCCUUUUGGAGCACUCUGUUCAGACUGCCCUGUCAAACGGGGAGGAAGGUGGGGACGACGUCAAGUCUGUAUGGCCCUUAUGGCUGGGGCUGCACACGUACUACAAUGCCCAGUACAAUGUGAACCGAAACCGCGAGGUGGAGGAAAUCGAUAAAACUGGGCCCAGUUCGGAUUGGAGGCUGCAACUCGCCUCCAUGAAGCCGGAAUCGCUAGUAAUGGCGCAUCAGCUACGGCGCCGUGAAUACGUUCCCGGGCCUUGUACACACCGCCCGUCACAUCAUGGAAGUCGCUUGUACCCGAAGCAUUCGCGCCAACCGCAAGGAGGCAGGGUUCGAAGGUAU